Molecule: long non-coding RNA, 578 nt
Organism: Myotis brandtii (Brandt's bat)
Lineage: Eukaryota; Metazoa; Chordata; Mammalia; Chiroptera; Vespertilionidae
Exons: 4
Source: RefSeq, a predicted model, not a curated record
UUUAAUAGGAAUAUUAGAAAAGCUGGAUAUAACACUGUUCAUCACUUGGACCGUAUGAUGACAUGGACCAUACUGGAUCACUUUUGAACCUUUACCCUGAUGCUAAAAUACAGAUCUCAUCGGGAAAUAUCACCAAAUCAAUGUGACCUAAAUUUGGUGAAAUAAUGAAGAUAUACUUCCUUGUGGGAACUCAAAAUCUAAUUGUUCACAUGGGAAAACAUUCAGAUUUCUUUAGUACAAGGGAGUGCCUGUAUCUACAAUAAUGACAUCACCAGAAUCCUAUCCAAAUGUACACUAAAGAGGAUACACUUGGAAUCCAGGGGCUUAGAGGCAGCUGGCUGGGGGGAGGCUGCCAGCUUUAAUCAUUCACCUUCCCCUGUGCAAAGACAGCGAGGAGAAAACGCAGCUGAACAAGGCUGAGAGGGCAUGAAAUUGCGUUAAGCAACACUCAUGACAAUGACUGGAUUUGCUAUUUUAGAGAUUUCAAAAGAAGUUGAGAAAUAUUCAAGACUUCUUGAGUUCCAGGCUUGGAAUUGACACACCACUACUUCUACUGUAUUCUGUUGACCAAGGCACAU